AAAGGUAAGCUACUAAGAGCGAAUGGUGGAUGCCUUGACUGGUAAAGGCGAUGAAGGACGUACUAGACUGCGAUAAGCUACGGGGAGCUGUCAAGAAGCUUUGAUCCGUAGAUUUCCGAAUGGGGCAACCCAAUGUAUAGAGAUAUACAUUACCUAUAUAGGAGCGA
Molecule: ribosomal RNA, 167 nt
Filed under: Campylobacter jejuni
Lineage: Bacteria; Pseudomonadati; Campylobacterota; Epsilonproteobacteria; Campylobacterales; Campylobacteraceae
Description: partial 23S ribosomal RNA
Rfam family: Bacterial large subunit ribosomal RNA
Source: RNAcentral